Molecule: unclassified non-coding RNA, 580 nt
Filed under: Penicillium mallochii
Lineage: Eukaryota; Fungi; Ascomycota; Eurotiomycetes; Eurotiales; Aspergillaceae
Description: sequence contains 18S rRNA gene, ITS1, 5.8S rRNA gene, ITS2, 28S rRNA gene
Rfam family: 5.8S ribosomal RNA (bases 219-372)
Source: RNAcentral
UCGUAACAAGGUUUCCGUAGGUGAACCUGCGGAAGGAUCAUUACUGAGUGAGGGCCCUCUGGGUCCAACCUCCCACCCGUGUUUAUUGUACCUUGUUGCUUCGGCAGGCCCGCCUCACGGCCGCCGGGGGGCUUCUGCCCCCGGGCCCGCGCCUGCCGGAGACAAUCUUGAACGCUGUCUGAAGAAUGCAGUCUGAGCGAUUAAGCAAAAUUAGUUAAAACUUUCAACAACGGAUCUCUUGGUUCCGGCAUCGAUGAAGAACGCAGCGAAAUGCGAUAAUUAAUGUGAAUUGCAGAAUUCAGUGAAUCAUCGAGUCUUUGAACGCACAUUGCGCCCCCUGGUAUUCCGGGGGGCAUGCCUGUCCGAGCGUCAUUGCUGCCCUCAAGCCCGGCUUGUGUGUUGGGUCUUGUCCCCCCCGGGGGACAGGCCCGAAAGGCAGUGGCGGCACCGUCCGAUCCUCGAGCGUAUGGGGCUUUGUCACCCGCUCUGUAGGCCCGGCCGGCUGCUUGCCGACCCCCAUCAAUCUUUUUUUCAGGUUGACCUCGGAUCAGGUAGGGAUACCCGCUGAACCUAAGCAUAU